RNAcentral lists this ribosomal RNA (532 nucleotides) under uncultured bacterium. Its description in RNAcentral is "bacterial SSU rRNA". It matches the Rfam family "Bacterial small subunit ribosomal RNA", at positions 355 to 902 of the family's 1533-position model. The record is from RNAcentral.
CGAGGAAUUUUGCGCAAUGGGCGGAAGCCUGACGCAGCAACGCCGCGUGGGUGAGGAAGGCCUUCGGGUCGUAAAGCCCUUUUGUUGGGGACGAAUUCUGACGGUACCCAACGAAGAAGCCACGGCUAACUACGUGCCAGCAGCCGCGGUAAUACGUAGGUGGCAAGCGUUGUCCGGAUUUAUUGGGCGUAAAGGGCGCGCAGGUGGUGGCGUGCGUCUGCUGUGAAAUCUCCCGGCUCAACUGGGAGGGCGCGGUGGAGACGGCGUCACUGGAGGCACUCAGAGGCCGGUGGAAUUCCCGGUGUAGUGGUGAAAUGCGUAGAGAUCGGGAGGAACACCAGUGGCGAAGGCGGCCGGCUGGGGGUGACCUGACGCUGAGGCGCGAGAGCGUGGGGAGCGAACCGGAUUAGAUACCCGGGUAGUCCACGCCGUAAACGAUGGCCACUAGAUGUGGGGGGUAUCGACCCCCUCCGCGUCGUCGCUAACGCAGUAAGUGGCCCGCCUGGGGAGUACGGCCGCAAGGCUAAAAAUC